GAUUCCCUUAGUAACGGCGAGUGAACCGGGAUGAGCUCAAAUUUAAAAUCUGGCGUCUUUCAGGCGUCCGAGUUGUAAUCUAUAGAGGCGUUUUCCGCGCCGGACCGCGUCCAAGUCUCUUGGAAUAGAGUAUCAAAGAGGGUGACAAUCCCGUACUUGACGCGACAACCGGUGCUCUGUGAUACGUUCUCAAUGAGUCGAGUUGUUUGGGAAUGCAGCUCUAAAUGGGUGGUAAAUUCCAUCUAAGGCUAAAUAUUGGCGAGAGACCGAUAGCGAACAAGUACCGUGAGGGAAAGAUGAAAAGCACUUUGGAAAGAGAGUUAAACAGCACGUGAAAUUGUUAAAAGGGAAACGAUUGAAGUCAGUCGUGUGAAAGGUAUUCAGCCGUCUCUGGCGGUGUAUUUGCCUUUCACGGGUCAACAUCAGUUUGAUCCGGUAGAAAAAGGCGGGAGGAAGGUGGCACCCUCGGGUGUGUUAUAGCCUCCUGUCAUAUGUGCCGGACCAGACUGAGGAACGCAGCUUGCCGCAAGGCCGGGGUUCGCCCACGUACAAGCUUAGGA
This 560-nucleotide ribosomal RNA is filed under the name Vishniacozyma victoriae. RNAcentral's name for it is "partial large subunit ribosomal RNA". It matches the Rfam family "Eukaryotic large subunit ribosomal RNA", at positions 73 to 618 of the family's 3401-position model. The record is from RNAcentral. Lineage: Eukaryota; Fungi; Basidiomycota; Tremellomycetes; Tremellales; Bulleribasidiaceae.